Molecule: small nucleolar RNA, 88 nt
Filed under: Bactrocera dorsalis (oriental fruit fly)
Lineage: Eukaryota; Metazoa; Arthropoda; Insecta; Diptera; Tephritidae
Description: Small nucleolar RNA Me28S-Gm1083
Rfam family: Small nucleolar RNA Me28S-Gm1083
About the family: Me28S-Gm1083 is a member of the C/D class of snoRNA which contain the C (UGAUGA) and D (CUGA) box motifs. This family directs 2'-O-methylation of 28S G-1083.
Source: Rfam by way of RNAcentral
UAAUUGCAUGAUGAACAAUUACUUUCGCCCCUAACUGAAAAAAAAUUCAUGUUGAGUGCGAAUUGAUUGGUCUUACUGAAGUUCAAUU